UACGUAGGGCGCAAGCGUUGUCCGGAAUUAUUGGGCGUAAAGAGCUCGUAGGCGGUUUGUCGCGUCUGCUGUGAAAACGCAAGGCUUAACCUUGCGCCUGCAGUGGGUACGGGCAGACUAGAGUGCGGUAGGGGAGACUGGAAUUCCUGGUGUAGCGGUGGAAUGCGCAGAUAUCAGGAGGAACACCGAUGGCGAAGGCAGGUCUCUGGGCCGUUACUGACGCUGAGGAGCGAAAGCAUGGGGAGCGAACAGG
Molecule: ribosomal RNA, 253 nt
Filed under: uncultured bacterium
Lineage: Bacteria
Description: partial 16S ribosomal RNA
Rfam family: Bacterial small subunit ribosomal RNA
Source: RNAcentral